Molecule: long non-coding RNA, 402 nt
Organism: Papaver somniferum (opium poppy)
Lineage: Eukaryota; Viridiplantae; Streptophyta; Magnoliopsida; Ranunculales; Papaveraceae
Exons: 3
Source: RefSeq, a predicted model, not a curated record
GAAAGAGAGGGGUACUUCAUCACUGUUGAUAUCGAGAAAGGGAUGCAAGAUGGACAAGGAAUUCUGAAGCGUAGGAUGAAAUAUCUCGGGGAAUGAUAACUGGUCUCAACUCAAGUAUGGAGAACUCACAGUUGCUACUAUUACUACCAUUGUGCCAGAUUUACUAGCUAAGGUUCUGCAGCAAGUUAUGGCGGUGCAGCAACAAAACCAACAUCCUUCCAAUAACAAUCCAGUCCCAGAUGUUGAGAUUCUGAACACAUGCUACUUUUAUUUUGAGGAUCAACCACUUUUUGUACUCUGUAUUCUUUAAUUUGCGACAUUUUGCAUCUCUUCUCCUCUCCGAUGUAAAUUUAAGCAAGUGUCCUCCUUGAUUGUGAUUAAAUAUAAUAUAUAUAGAUUUUU